GAAAUGCGAUAAGUAAUGUGAAUUGCAGAAUUCAGUGAAUCAUCGAAUCUUUGAACGCACAUUGCGCCCGCCAGUACUCUGGCGGGCUUGCCUGUUCGAGCGUCAUUUCAACCAUCAAGCCCCCGGCUUGUGUUGGGGACCUGCGGCUGCCCGCAGGCCCUGAAAAACAGUGGCGGGCUCGCUGUCACACCGAGCGUAGUAGCAUACAUUCUCGCUCAGGGCGUGCUGCGGGUUCCGGCCGUUAAACGACCUUCAUAACCCAAGGUUGACCUCGGAUCAGGUAGGAAGACCCGCUGAACUUAAGC
Molecule: unclassified non-coding RNA, 305 nt
Filed under: plant metagenome
Description: partial contains 5.8S ribosomal RNA, internal transcribed spacer 2, and large subunit ribosomal RNA
Rfam family: 5.8S ribosomal RNA (bases 1-105)
Source: RNAcentral